RNAcentral lists this ribosomal RNA (303 nucleotides) under Triticum aestivum (bread wheat). RNAcentral's name for it is "partial small subunit ribosomal RNA". The record is from RNAcentral. Lineage: Eukaryota; Viridiplantae; Streptophyta; Magnoliopsida; Poales; Poaceae.
AUGCAAGCGGUGGCAGCCCAACCCGUUGUUGUGGUGGUUGACCCAAACGCCUUCAGGCGCUAUGGAGGAGGCGUCUUUGUGGGUCCAUGUGGUACGGAUCAGACCCACUCAAUGUUGGUGGUGGGGUACGGCACCACCGAUGACCAUGACCCUAAGAGACGCAUAGAUUACUGGAUCAUAAAGAACUCAUGGGGGGCAAAAUGGGGUGAAAAUGGUUACAUCCGCAUGGCACGUGGAGCCGGUCCUUCCAAGGAGGGCCUAUGUGGCAUCCUGAUGCAAGCGUUUUACCCAGUGAAAAAUUAG